AGCAGCCGCGGUAAUUCCAGCUCCAAUAGCGUAUAUUAAAGUUGUUGCAGUUAAAAAGCUCGUAGUUGAAUUUCGGGGUCAGCAAGUUGGUCGUGCCACCGGUAUGUACUGGCUUUGCUGAUUCCUCCUUCUUGUAGAACCGUAAUGCCAUUAGGUUGGUGUUGCGGGGAAACAGGACUGUUACUUUGAAAAAAUUAGAGUGUUUAAAGCAGGCUAACGCUUGAAUACAUUAGCAUGGAAUAAUGAAAUAGGACGAGCGAUCCUAUUUUGUUGGUUUCUAGGAUUGACGUAAUGAUUAAUAGGGAUAGUUGGGGGCAUUAGUAUUCAAUUGUCAGAGGUGAAAUUCUUGGAUUUAUUGAAGACUAACUACUGCGAAAGCAUUUGCCAAGGAUGUUUUCAUUAAUCAAGAACGAAAGUUAGGGGAUCGAAGACGAUCAGAUACCGUCGUAGUCUUAACCAUAAACUAUGCCGACUAGGGAUCGGAUGAUGUUAAUUUUAUAAUGACUCAUUCGGCGCCUUA
This 520-nucleotide ribosomal RNA is filed under the name uncultured Glomus. RNAcentral's name for it is "SSU rRNA". It matches the Rfam family "Eukaryotic small subunit ribosomal RNA", at positions 569 to 1090 of the family's 1831-position model. Lineage: Eukaryota; Fungi; Glomeromycota; Glomeromycetes; Glomerales; Glomeraceae. The record is from RNAcentral.